GGUGCACGGGCCGCCAUGUUGGGUAAGGGCAGCUGCUUUGGCUGCUUACCCGGAACCCUCUCAAUCUAUUGACUCGACCCUAAUACCUGGUCUUGGCUCCACACCCACUCCUCCCGAGGCCCGGACUCGUGGAGCAGCAUUUCUGGCGCCACCCUAUAGCCAGUAGGAUGGGCGGCGCGAGUAAGGAUCAGAAGCGGUUCCUUGUUUUGAAUUACCACGUGGAUUGGCAAGCCAAUCAUGGGAAGCGUCCACUUUCAUUCGCCGGCUGCCCAGACCCCGCUUUUAUCCUGGGUCAGAUGGCAGAACCUCUUGAUCUAAAUAAAGGUGCUAGGUCUGCCUAGUCGGCUGCCGUCUUGGGCCUCUGAGGACCUCGCGGCGAGGCUGCGAGCAGAGGCGUUGGUCUAGCUUCCCAGUGGAGGCCAUGGGAUCUUGGGAGGUUUUGUUCUCCACUCUUGGAGAAACGAGAAUGGGAACUGGAGACAUUACCGCCUGGACUGCCCUAAUGCUAAGUGCAACGGCUUUGGCCACUCGCCCUGGAAGGCGGAAUAUGGAGGGCGGCCGACUAAGUGCAGAAAAGUAUCUGGAGCUAAAAGGGCUUGGAGCCCGGCGACAAGGGUUUGAGAGGGGCACUUAUGCUCCCAUUCAGUGAAAUCAGUGGAUCAAUAUCAGUGGAGAAGGGAGAUGUCUGCAUGUGAUAACUGGCUGCCUCCAUGGACUGAGGUUCAAACAUGCCUGGAAACAAACCUAAAGCUGCCCUACCUAAGAAUCACAUUCCAAGCUAGACCUUGACCCUCAUACCUGUGAACCCGGACGGUCCAGAAACAAGCUUACCAGUGAGUCUGGGCUCAGGAACAGGUGUGUGUGCCCUUGGAGCUGGGGCUAUUGGAUUGGCCUACCUACAUCCUCAACAGUCUCUACUCUGCCUGAAUGAUCCUGAGGGUAUCAGAAAGCCCUACACUGUUGGUACCUGGGCCCCAACAUACUGUGAACGGAAAUGGGCCUUCUUUCUUUUUCUAUAGGUUAUUUGCUGGCAGUUCUAUUAAACUUGUUUCUAAG
This 1056-nucleotide long non-coding RNA is filed under the name Mus pahari (shrew mouse). RNAcentral describes it as "lncRNA (MGP_PahariEiJ_G0002328.1)". Lineage: Eukaryota; Metazoa; Chordata; Mammalia; Rodentia; Muridae. The record is from RNAcentral.